UACGUAGGGAGCAAGCGUUGUCCGGAAUUACUGGGUGUAAAGGGAGCGUAGGCGGGAUAGUAAGUUGAUUGUUAAAACUAUCGGCUCAACUGGUAGAUGCGAUCAAAACUGCAAUUCUUGAGUGAAGUAGAGGCAGGCGGAAUUCCUAGUGUAGCGGUGAAAUGCGUAGAUAUUAGGAGGAACACCAGUGGCGAAGGCGGCCUGCUGGGCUUUAACUGACGCUGAGGCUCGAAAGUGUGGGUAGCAAACAG
This 251-nucleotide ribosomal RNA is filed under the name uncultured bacterium. RNAcentral describes it as "partial 16S ribosomal RNA". It matches the Rfam family "Bacterial small subunit ribosomal RNA", at positions 524 to 775 of the family's 1533-position model. The record is from RNAcentral.